This 855-nucleotide ribosomal RNA is filed under the name uncultured beta proteobacterium. RNAcentral's name for it is "bacterial SSU rRNA". It matches the Rfam family "Bacterial small subunit ribosomal RNA", at positions 38 to 937 of the family's 1533-position model. The record is from RNAcentral. Lineage: Bacteria; Pseudomonadati; Pseudomonadota; Betaproteobacteria.
AACGGGAUGGGCGCCUACACAUGCAGUCGACGGGCAUAGCAAUAUGUCAGUGGCAGACGGGUGAGUAACGCGUGGGAACAUACCUCUUGGUUCGGAACAACACAGGGAAACUUGUGCUAAUACCGGAUAAGCCCUUACGGGGAAAGAUUUAUCGCCGAGAGAUUGGCCCGCGUCUGAUUAGCUAGUUGGUGUGGUAAAGGCGCACCAAGGCGACGAUCAGUAGCUGGUCUGAGAGGAUGAUCAGCCACAUUGGGACUGAGACACGGCCCAAACUCCUACGGGAGGCAGCAGUGGGGAAUAUUGGACAAUGGGCGCAAGCCUGAUCCAGCCAUGCCGCGUGAGUGAUGAAGGCCUUAGGGUUGUAAAGCUCUUUUGUACGGGAAGAUAAUGACGGUACCGUAAGAAUAAGCCCCGGCUAACUUCGUGCCAGCAGCCGCGGUAAUACGAAGGGGGCUAGCGUUGCUCGGAAUCACUGGGCGUAAAGGGUGCGUAGGCGGGUUUUUAAGUCAGAGGUGAAAUCCUGGAGCUCAACUCCAGAACUGCCUUUGAUACUGAAAGUCUUGAGUAUGGGAGAGGUGAGUGGAACUGCGAGUGUAGAGGUGAAAUUCGUAGAUAUUCGCAAGAACACCAGUGGCGAAGGCGGCUCACUGGCCCAUUACUGACGCUGAGGCACGAAAGCGUGCGGAGCAAACAGGAUUACAUACCCUGGUAGUCCACGCCGUAAACGAUGAAUGCCAGCCGUUAGUGAGUUUACUCACUAGUGGCGCAGCUAACGCUUUAAGCAUUCCGCCUGGAGAGUACGAUCGCAAGAUUAAAACUCAGAGGAAUUGACGGGGGCCCGCACAAGCGGUGGAG